Molecule: long non-coding RNA, 1482 nt
Organism: Nicotiana attenuata
Lineage: Eukaryota; Viridiplantae; Streptophyta; Magnoliopsida; Solanales; Solanaceae
Exons: 4
Source: RefSeq, a predicted model, not a curated record
GCAAAAAUCCACAAAUAUUUCCCCUCUCAAUUCGCAUACCCCCAAUUACAAACGCCUCUCUCUCUCUCACCAAAAAUCAGCGCUCUUUCACUCUGAAAAAUCCGUUGAAUCUUCCUCUCUAUCGUAUUUCUCUCUUUCACUCUGUGAACUUUGCUAUAUCGUUGGAUUUAAGGGGUUUUACAAAUAAGUUUUGCUGAUUUGGUGGACACUUCUUUGGGUAUCAUGAAUGCGGGUGGCGAAUUUUUGAGGCAUUUGAGAAUACUUCGCCAAACAGGUGCUCUCCCCAUAUCCCUAAAUCCAACACCAGUGAUUUUAACCAUGAUUUAGGAUCUUGUGAUAUUGUUGCAGCUGUUGAUGAGGUUAAUAACAUCCGAUUAAGUACUUGUUGAUAGCAACCGGUCGAGGAUUGAAUUGAUAGUGAAUUGAGAGGAAAGCAGAUCACGAAUUUAAGUAGUCAUGAAUCAGGAAGGGCGCUCAAGUAAAAAUAAAAAAGUUACAAAAAUGCAUUGCGGCUGGAUCACUUGUAUCUUUGCGAAACCUAAAGGUUUUGUCAUUGAAAACAAAAAGAGUUGUUAAAGCUACAAGGUCAAAUGAAAAGCAUCAGCUAAAUUUAAUUGACAAAAAGAGUUGAUUCCACUACUCGUACUUCACAAAUGGUACAAGAACAAUUUGAGGAUUCUUCUAAUCAUGAAACAACGAACAAUCCGAGGAACAAGGCAAGAACAUAUAAAUUUCAAUCGUCAACCAUAACAAUAAUGACUUUUGGUGAUUAUUCUUUCUUCAUAUUAAUGCAGGUCCUUCUGCCGAAAAAAGAAAAAGAGGCAGAACUCAGAUGCAAAGUGUUCAUGGUAGAAGAGAGCGAAGCAAAUUGUGCUAAAUGAGAACAAUUAACCCAUAGGUCCUACUGAUACAGCUGUAAAAGUGUUGGGUAGUUUUCUUGGAACAUUGGCAAGGAAUGCGAUCUUUUGUCCUCUUAAUGUAUUUAAUUGGAGAAAACUUGAAACAAAAGAAGAUAUGUGGAAAUAUGUCAAGGUUUGAAGUUCACAAUAUUUAAUAGGCGUGGAUGAUAUUUCAUAUCUUUUAUACUAACCUAACUAUACCAAAUUUGAAGGAAAAAUAUAACAUUCCUGAAGGUGGGAAAGCGUGGGUUUUUAAAUCAAUUCAAACUGCUUGGAGAAAGUAUAAGAAUCCGUUAAAGAAAGACCUUUUUGAACCUUAUGAAAAUGACGAGCUUCGAAUGGAGAAAAGGCCGGUUGAUGUUCCGGAUUCUCAAUUUAGAGAGCUUCUUAAAUAUUGGAACGCUGAUCCUUACAAGGUGGAGAAAAUGAUGAUAGGGAAGGCGAAGCGAUGAAGAUCUAGACUUUACAACUUUGAUUAGAAUAUUUUGUUUUUGUGGGUAUUACUACCUUGUUGGAUAAUAAAUUCAGUUUGUGAAUGUUUAUGAGUGCUUUCGUUUGAGAAUCAUAUAAAUUUUAGUGUAUU